AAAAAACAGCAGGCCCAAUUUUCACAUUGAACAGCCCAAACCCAAUUACAAUGAUCCAAAUAAUAUAAAACCCUAAAGCCCACCUAGCCCAACAAACUAAACAUUUUCAGCAGCAAAAAAAACUCAGCCCCCAAGCCUCAGCCGCACAUCAGGCCAACCAUUUGCCCUAUACGCCUACCGGACGUCAGUAAGAACCUCUACCGGGGCAACACCUUUUUCUUUAGUUUAUGGAAUGGAAGCGGUUCUGCCUAUUGAGAUCGAGAUUCCCUCUCUACGCGUACUUUCAGAACUAAAAUUAGAUGAAGCAGAAUGGAUCCAGUCUCGAUACGACCAGUUGAACUUGGUUGAAGAAAAGAGGCUAAAGGCUAUCCGUCAUGGUCAAAUGUAUCAAAAGAGAAUGAUGCGGGCAUAUAAUAAGAAGGUUCGCCCUAGAGAAUUCCAUGAAGGAGACCUCGUAUUGAAAAAGAUCCUCUCCAUACAAAAGGACUUCAGAGGGAAAUGGAUGCCGAAUUGGGAAGGACCUUAUGUGGUAAAGAAGGCUUUCUUUGGAGGGGCUCUGAUUUUGACCAAGAUGGAUGGUAAGAGCCUGCCUAAUCCCGUUAAUUCGGAUUUGGUCAAGAGGUAUUUUACCUAAAAAAAAAAAGGAGAGGCCAAUGUGAAAACCCGUGAAAGGGCGCUUUGAGACCAAAGGGGUUUGAAUUGAAAGCCUAGGAAUGGACAAUUCAAAUCGAAGUGGGGUAUCUAGUAGUAUUGUCUUCUCUGAAUUAACAAGAAGGAAUGAUGCUACAUUUCGGGGCAUUAGCAAAGUACUCUUGGUCUUCCAAACACAUACUGAGUUCAAAAGGGUCCUCGAGAAGUUUGUGCAAUGAAGCUCAUACUGCGAUAUCUAGGGCACCUAUUCUUAUCUUAUUCAUUUUGUAUUUUUUUUUGAAUGUGCUACCUUGAUUAAUUCAUAAGUUCUCAUUUUGUAUCUUAGCAAAUGUGCCAUCUUGAUUGCCCUAUUCAUUUUGAGUUUCGCUCUCAAUAAAAUUUCAUCUUGCCUAUUGCGAUGAUCUUUUUCAAGCGUCUUUCAUUGAAAUGAUGAUUAAUGGACUAAUAAUAUUCAGAAAGAGUUCUGCAUAUUACUCUAAAAUACUUCUAAAUGAUACGAGGAUCCGAAACGGGGCUAAUUAGUUUGAAUCACCCUACGUUCAAAGGUUGGAAAUAUUGGGGGAAAGAAUGGCCUAAAUUGUGAUUAUUUUUUCGAAUUUUCUGCCGAAGAUAUCAGUUGAAGAAAAGAUAGAGUAGUACAUUUACGAUAAAACCUCGAUGAACAGUGAGUAAUAUCAAACUAAGCAUUAAAAAAAUGACAUUUUUGCAUUCAUACAAGCAUCAUUCAUACACAUUUAGUUAGGAGCACUUGAUUCAUUUUGAUCACAGCAUCCUAAUUAUUUGACAUAAGCAUAGAUACAUAAAACUGAUUCUACAGAUCAUGUUCGUGGAGGAUGGUGUAGCAACAUUGGUAAUUUUACAGAUCGUGUCUCCCUGAAGUUACAGUGGAACAGAUCGAAAACGGUAAAUUUUGUCUCUUUGAAGUUGCAAUGGAGCAGAUUUAAGCCACCAUCCUGUCCCUCUAAGUAGUAGGGUAAUAGGCUGAAUUUCCAGAUCUUAACCCCUUAAGCAGUAGGGAAACAGAUCGAAGACGAAGGUCUUAAACCCCUAAGCAGUAGGGAAACAGACCAAAUUGCAGAUCUUAUCUCCCUAAGCAGUAGUGGAGCAGAUCGAAGACAAAGAGCCUUAAACCCCUAAGCAGUAGGGUAACAGGCUGAAUUUCCAGAUCUUAACCCCUAAGCAGUAGGGAAACAGAUCGAAGACGAAGGGUCUUAAACCCCUACGAAGUAGGGUAACAGACCAAAUUGCAGAUUUUAUCUCCCUAAGCAGUAGGGUAACAGGCUGAAUUUCCAGAUCUUAACCCCUUAAGCAGUAGGGAAACAGAUCGAAUACAAAGGGUCUUAAACCCUUAAGCAGUAGGGAAACAGACCAAAUUGCAGAUCUUAUCUCCCUAAGCAGUAGUGGAGCAGAUGUAAUGGCCCAAAUUUGAGGUUAUCGGAACAGUGGUUUCGGAACCACAAAUCCGAUGAGAAAAAAUUUUAUUUUUCUUAUAUUUUUAUGGUCUACAAUUUCACAAAAUGAUUUUUUGAAAAUUUCGUUCGAAAAUUUCGACGUUUGGGCACUCAAUUUAGUCAAAAGGACUAAAUUGUAAAAAGUGCAAAAGUUGAGUUCUACAUGUUAGAGGUGUCCAAUUGUUAUGAAACUUUAAAUUGGAGGUCCUUAUAUGGUAAUUAUACCAUUGGUAACUUGGUAGACAAAAAUGGACAUGAGAUAAGUGAAAUAGAAAAUUUUUAAGUUAGGGGCAAUUUGGUAAUCUAGUAAUUAAAAUGAAUUAAAAGGGAAAAAGAUGGCAAAAAUCAUCAUCUUCUUCAUAUGAAUGAAAUCAGAAAGGGGGGAAGCCAUAGUUAGGGUUUUCAAGCUUCCAAGCUCCAUAGUAAGUGAUCCCAAGCCCCGUUUUUAAUGUUCUUUACGUUUUUGAGAUCCCGGUAACUUAAUUUAGCUUAUUCUAGCAAUAAUUUAACCUAGGGUUUAUAUUUGGAAAAAUACCCAUAGGUGAAAAGUGUUUAUUUUGAUGUUUUAUGAUAGAAUAUGAAGCUAGAAAUUAUGUUAAACAACUUUUGCUAAGCGAUUUUAAGUGAAAACGAGUAAAACGACAUAAUCGGUAAAAAUACCUAAUGUUCAUAAGUACAUGUUAGAGUGGGAAUUUGAUGUUGCCAUAGAAGGGAAAAAUGUUCAGAAUGUUAUAAAAAAAUAAGAAUAAGAGAUGAAGUUUAAUUUCCGAGCCUUGGGGCAAAAAUGUAAUUAUGUAAAAGUUUAGGGGCAAAAUUGUAAUUUUGAAAAAGUUAGAGUCGAGGGCUGUUUUGAUGAAUGUGAUUAUUAAAUAAGUUAAAUUUACUAUUUUAGAUCAAGAAGUACGAAACUCGAGGUUAGACAAAGGGAAGAAUAAAGUUGAAGACUAAGUUGGUGAAUUUGGCUAUAAUUGGUACCGAGGUAAGUUUACAGUAAAUAAAUGCAAUAUUUCAAUAUUUAUUAUUAAUGCUGUUAAUUUCUAGCAAUUAUGAAUUUAUUUUAUGAAUUUAUUUGAUGAUGAUCUAAGCAUGAAAUGAUAGAGAAUUAAAAUUAAAAAGUCCCGUUGAUACAUAAGGAUGGUACUGGAUACGAAUGUCAUGACAUUUGGGUAAAGAGGUCCCAUGUAAGACCAUGUCUGGGACAUGGCAUUGGCACCGAGAUGAGAGGAGGUCCCAUGUAAGACCAUGUCUGGGACAUGGCAUUGGCACCGAGAUGAGAGGUCCCAUGUAAGACCAUGUCUGGGACAUGGCGUUGGCACCGAGAUGAGAGGUCCCCUAUAAGACCAUGUCUGGGACAUGGCAUGGGCACCAACACGAGAACAUCCCAUGUAAGACCAUGUCUGGGACAUGGCUUUGGCAUGUUAUUAUCAGAAGAGACCCGAGUAUCCUUAUUAUUCCAAUGUAGCUCAACGGGCUUGUAAACGAAUCAUGUUCAUGAAAGUUCAGUUUAAAGCAUAAAUGGCAAGCUCAGGUAAGUUGUAAGACUUAAGAACUUAUUAUACUAUCAAUUGAUGUUCAACGAUGCAGCAAGGAUUGAGUAAGUUAUGCACACAAGUAUUCUAAGUAAACAAGUAAGAGAACUAGUAUGAGAUUAACUAAAAAGUAAACUAGAGAUAUAGACAUUGAGUUUAAUUAUUUAAGUUAAAUAUUGUUAUUUAUUUGCUAGUAAACUUACUAAGCUUUAUGCUUACUUCUUUUAUUUCUCUUUCUCUUAUAGUAUUGCAAAGCUACUUCAAGGAUCCUAAAGAAGUCGGAGAUCGUCCACACUAUCAACUACAACUGCUCGGUAUUUUAUAUCGAAACACGUUUGAGUUAUGGCAUGUAUAGGGAUUUAGUUAUUUUGUAUGUUUGUAAUGAUGAUUUUGCUAAUGAGUGAUGUGUAAGUAUUUGAUGAUGUAUGGUUAUUAAAAUGAUUAAGGAUGAAGGUGUUUGUUGUUAUGAAAGAUUAGGUGAUAAAUUAUGCAUGGAAAUCAUGAAAGGAUAAAAUUUUGCAAAGAAACAGAAUUCAGGCAGCACAGUGACGUGAAUUUGAAAAAUCACCCAAGAUAGUAUAAAAUGAAUUAGAGGGUGAAUGAUAUAUGGAAUUAAAGCUUGUUGAGUCUAUUUUCAUGGAAAAAUAACGGUGUAGAAAAAGAAAAUUUAUAUUUUAAGAUAUGUGAAUUUUAGUAAGAUAGGGUCAGAACUGUUUUUGGAGUCCCCUGUUCUGAGUUUAAAAAAUAAUUACAAAUUGUACAAAAAUGGUUAUGAGUUGAAAUUUACAUGCUUAGAUUUCUUAAUGAGUCUAUUUUCUGUAGAAACAAGUAAGAACUUCACAUGAAAAUCCUACAGUGAGAAAACUUAUUUUUAGUGAUUAGAGGUCAGGGCAGUCAGGUGGUGAAACAGGGGAGACUUUAACAAUAAACUGUACUAAUUUGCUGAACCAAAAAUUCUAAAAAUUUUAUGGUGAGUAUAUAUAUGAGUCUAGUUUCAGGGAAAAUUUACGGAAUUAAAUUUCGAGUUCUGUAGCUCAAGUUAUAAUUAAUUUAGUAACUGCUGCGCGAUUGGACAGAUUUGCUACGAAUAAUGAAAUAAAUUUUCAAACCUAGUUUUUAUGCUCCGAAUUGGUAAGAUAAGCUAAGUAAUGCCUCGUGCUCGACUCCGGAAACGGUCUCGGGUAAGGGGUGUUACAGCAGAUCGAAGACAAAAAGCCUUAAACCCCUAAGCAGUAGGGUAACAAGCUGAAUUUCCAGAUCUUAACCCCUAAGCAGUAGGGAAACAGAUCGAAGAUGAAAUGUCUUAAACCCCUAAGAAGUAGGGUAAUAGACCAAAUUGUAAACCCUAUCUCCCUAAGCAAUAGUGGAGUAGGCUGAAGAGUGUACAUCUUGUUUCCCUGAAGUUGCAGUGGAGCAGUUUGAAGUCACAAACCUCAUCUUCCUGAAGAUGCAGUGGAGCAGGUUAAAAUUACCAAAUUUUAUCCCUUUGAAGUACUAGCAGAGUAGAUUGAAGCUACAAAUCUCUUCUCUCUGAAAUUGCAUUUGAGCAAAUCGUAGCACUAGUUCCUAUAUCCCUGAGGAUACAAUGGGAUGAAAUGAGGCUACUCGAAGAAAAGAAGCUUCAAAGAAGUUAAGAUUCAGUAAGACUAGGCAAAAUUGGCUCUUCUAAGGUCUUUGCUCUAUUCUCGUUACACGACAAUAAGUAAAGAGGGGCAGCUGUUAUAGCCAAUUUUGGCUUGGCCAACAAGAAAUAAAAACCCAAAUUAAUUCCAUAAUAUAAAAGUCCCAAAACAAAGUCCAUUUUACAAAAAAAAAAGAAAAAAAAACAGCAGGCCCAAUUUCCACAUUGAACAGCCCAAACCCAAUUACAAUGACCCAAAUAAUACAAAACCCUAAAGCCCACCUAGACCAACAAACUAAACAUUUUCAGCAGCAAAAAAAACUCAGCCCCCAAGCCUCAGCCGCACACCAGGCCAACCAGUAGCCGCCUCGCACACCACCACGCAUGCCACCUCGGCCACCACGCCCCUGACCGUCGCCCCUUCCACGCGUCGCAUGGCACCUGCAACAAGAAUAAACACGACAUCAAAAGAAAGCAUGCGAAUGACAAGAAGAAAUAAAAAAAGGAACAAAAACAAAAAAAGAAACGAAUGUGUUGGGGAGAUCAGCUUUAAAAAGUAAAAAUCGAUCAUUUGUAAAAAGGGAAGAGGGCACGUACAUUUUGAAUAAAAAAAGAGAACAAAUAUCUAAGGUUGAUCUCGAUAUACUUUUUCGCGUUCUAUUCAUUACUUUGUUUUUACUGAUAUUUGAAUACAAACUCAUUUAAAAGAAAAGGAGGCAGACAUAAGAUCAAUUAAAAAGAAAAAGGAAGAAGGCCUCACCGGGAUUGUCUGAAGUUUCGUCACCGAGGUUCCUCUUCCGUUGUCGGGGUUGAACCGAAUGGGGGAAGACCGAGAAGGCGUAGCCUUCGGGGACGCCUUGAAAAGGGGCUAAAUGACCUCACCCAUUCGCGUCGUCGACCAUCGCUUGUGGUGUUGCCGUGGUAACAGCGGCGAUGAUGGGUUUCCUAACCUUAGCCAAAGGAGAAAAAAAGGAAAGGGAGAAGGAGAGGGGGCAAAGGCCCUCUGUUUUCCUCUUUUUUUAAAAAAAGAAUAUAAGCUGAAAAAAAAAAAGAAAAGGAAAAAAGAAUGGCUUAAAUGGCCAUAGAAACGGCAGCAUUAUUUUCUCAAGGCUAAAGUGGGUC
Molecule: long non-coding RNA, 6374 nt
Filed under: Gossypium barbadense (sea-island cotton)
Lineage: Eukaryota; Viridiplantae; Streptophyta; Magnoliopsida; Malvales; Malvaceae
Description: long non-coding RNA (GBAR_LNC004060)
Source: RNAcentral